This is a long non-coding RNA of Neopelma chrysocephalum (saffron-crested tyrant-manakin), 363 nucleotides long. RefSeq lists it as uncharacterized. The record is from RefSeq and is a predicted model, not a curated record. Lineage: Eukaryota; Metazoa; Chordata; Aves; Passeriformes; Pipridae. The transcript is spliced from 3 exons.
CAGGUGGUUAGUUGAUUGCAGGUUGUUAAUGAGGUAAUUAUGAGUGGCUAAUGAGGGGAUUAUAGGUGGUUGGUUAGUUGAUACGGAUGGUUAAUGAGGUGAUUAUGGCUGGUUAAUGAGGUGAUUGUGGGUGGUUAGUUGAUGUGGUUGGUUAAUGAUGUGAUUAUGGCUGGUUAAUGAGGUGAUUAUGGGUGGUUAGUUGAUAUGGGUGGUUAAUGAAGUGACUGUGGGUAGUUAAUGAGGUGAUUACGGGUGGUUAAUGAGGUAAUUACGGAUGGUUAAUGAGAUGACUAUGGGUGGUUAAUGAGGUGACUGUGGGGAGUUAAUGAGGUGAUUACGGCUGGUUAACGAGGUGCCUAUGGG